Molecule: ribosomal RNA, 235 nt
Filed under: Crocothemis servilia
Lineage: Eukaryota; Metazoa; Arthropoda; Insecta; Odonata; Libellulidae
Description: partial 28S ribosomal RNA
Rfam family: Eukaryotic large subunit ribosomal RNA
Source: RNAcentral
ACCCGUCUUGAAACACGGACCAAGGAGUCUAACAUGCGCGCGAGUCGUUGGGUCGGACACGCUCCGCUAAACCCAUAGGCGCAAUGAAAGUGAAGGUUUCCCUUUGCGGGACCGAGGGAGGACGGAGGAGCUCUAACAGGCUCCUCCCGCACUCCCGGGGCGUCUGAUUCCUCUCUUUGAGGGAAGGCCCCCCCCGAGCGCACACCUUGGGGCCCCAAAUAUGGUGAACUAUAAA